AUGUGUGAGGCCAAGACGGAUGGAGGUCUUGGCUUUCGUGACCCGGAAGCUUUCAACCAAGCUCUAUUGGCUAAAGAGGCAUGGAGGAUCUUACAAUACCCAACAUCUUUAUCUGCUCGGGUUCUUAAGGCUAGGUACUUUCCGGAUACCACAAUUAUGUUGGCCACUUGUCCCUCGGGGGGUUCUUUCACCUUUCGGAGCAUCCUCCAUGUGACGCCCGGGUAA
Molecule: ribosomal RNA, 225 nt
Filed under: Triticum aestivum (bread wheat)
Lineage: Eukaryota; Viridiplantae; Streptophyta; Magnoliopsida; Poales; Poaceae
Description: partial small subunit ribosomal RNA
Source: RNAcentral